UUCAGCAACGACUGUGCUGAUCAAUCAACAGACAUCCAUGAGGCAAGAUCCACCAGAAACAGAAACAGACUAGGACUCGCUGAAAGCUCAGCUGAUUGUUAACAAUGUUUAGCAAUAACGUAUUUUAAAUCAAGGAAUAAUGAGACAUCAAUCCACAAAUUUAAGAAGUCUAAUUAAUAUCAAUCAAGAUUUUUGAAAAGAAACAAUAAAUAAAUCCACAUAUAAGCACAUCAUAGUAAAGACUGAAGAACACCAGGAGCAAUGAUAAAUUUCCAGACACAACCAGGAGAGAAAAGACAAUGACUGGAAAUAAACAGCAUUUAUUCUAUCGACUGAUUUCCCAACAGCGCAAAUGGAAGUCAGAAGAAAAGGAACUAUACAGGCUACAUGCUGACAGAAAAUGAAUCAAGACAGCACUCAAUCUCCGACCUUUUUCCUCAUGUAUUAGACAAAAACACAUAUUUUUUUAGACAAAUAGGAUGAGAGAAAUUAGCAUCUUUAUUCAAUAAAGGAAAUUUAUUAUUU
This is a long non-coding RNA of Sapajus apella (tufted capuchin), 525 nucleotides long. RefSeq lists it as uncharacterized. The record is from RefSeq and is a predicted model, not a curated record. The transcript is spliced from 2 exons. NCBI's taxonomy places the organism in Eukaryota, Metazoa, Chordata, Mammalia, Primates, Cebidae.